Lepus europaeus (European hare) is the source of this 2752-nucleotide long non-coding RNA. RefSeq lists it as uncharacterized. The transcript is spliced from 4 exons. Lineage: Eukaryota; Metazoa; Chordata; Mammalia; Lagomorpha; Leporidae. The record is from RefSeq and is a predicted model, not a curated record.
GCCCUGCUCCCUCGGACAGGGAAGCUGGCAGGGAAUAGGCGGGGCGAGCUGGGGCUCAGCCAGCAGACCCCGGAUUCGGAUGACUGUGGUCAGGAACCAGUAAGAACCCUUCCUUUGCGCAUUCCCUCGGCUUUGCCUUUGCCCGCCCGCGGGCUUCGUGCCCCGCGCCGGACCUGCACACAGUGGAGCUCGGCGCCUGUUGCUCUUCUUAAUUCUCUUCCAGCCUGAGAGCUCCUGAGGGCACCGUGUGCAGGCGGGGUAUGACCUCCAACCGAACUGCGGGACCUGUCAGGGUCCCAGAUGAGGCCAGGCGCCGCUGCUUGUGAGGUUGGGGUCCCCCUUAGUCUGUGUCCUUGGCACUACAAGCAGAUGAGAAUGGGGCAGCUGGUCUCUCGUUUACCCUGAAGCCUCAGGUAACACCUCUUCCAAAGCUGUCGCCACAGCUCCAGGCACAGAGACAGCCGGGACCGUGCGUCUAGUUGGCAGCUGGCCAGGGUUCCAGGGCCGGGCCCGAAGAUGACGAGUGCUCUUGUGACCACUGAGUAAUGACGACAAAGAAGCCCUACUGAACUCCGUUCCGGCCAGGACAGCGAUGGGGCUCAGGGGAGAGAGUGACCAUGUCCCAUGGCCUGAGGUCCCCGGCGUACAAGCAGGCGUGGGCAAGGAGACCUGCUACCAGGAAACAACUCCUGAGACAGUCCUCAGUAGCAGAAAGAAGGGCCCAGGGUCCAGGGAGCCCCGUGCACAGCCAGCAGCCUCUGGGAAGGGCCGGAGCCUGGCGGGGCAUCAUCCGGAAUGGCUGCCAUGUGUCACAUGUCAAGCUGCCUUGGGAAGAAGAAACUUCCAGCAACUGAAGCUUAGAAGGCUGAGAAACUCUUGCAGUCUCCAAGUUCAUUCUGUCCUUGGUGGUACAGCAGGAGGCAGCAGGACCAGACACACCGCUCAGCUGGUUUGUACCGACUGAGAGAUGUGUUCAUUCACUUGUCAUCAAGUUCAGGGAGCGAAUUCUCCUGGGUGAGUGAAGACAGCUCAUUAACUGGACUCUCCAUGCGGAUAAACCAAAUGCAACCUCAGCAUCUUAUGUAUUGGAUCAGCAGCCGAGACCCGGUGACGCAGGAGCUGUAACCAGAAGUCUCUCUGGGCUGCUUUAAAGCCUGGUGGUUGGUGAACCCCUUGGAAGUGCAGUCAGGGAAAUAUUUAGAGCAGCUUGGAGAACUCAGCCCAAACAUCAGCCCCUGAGGGCCUGCUGAGGCCCAGCCCAGGGGACAGGUCAGGUCAGACAAGGUCUUUCUGUGGAGCAGCCCCAGUUGAGUUAAAGAGGAAGGAAAUUACCCUUGGGACAGGGAAUAAAAAUGGGAGACUGAAUCAGAGACCCAGUAAGCUGGAGGCCAGCGCCACACUGUGGUUGGCAGGAGUCUCCGGGCUGAAUGCCAGGGCCGACGUGGACAGGGCAGGCCUGUUCCUGGGGAUGGUCUGCAGACUGUGGAACUGGGGAAAACUGAGGAGAGGGGCACUGCUAAAACCACUCUGUGCUGUGCUCCUUGUCACCAAGGCAGCGAGGACUCUGGAGGUCUGCUACUCUGAGCAGGGCAACUCCCUAGGCCCCCUGGCUGGGUAGGGCUAAUUACCCCCGCAGGAACCAACCGGGCCCUGUUGAUUUAAAUGUAUGGAAAGCCGCAGCUCCUGUGGCUUCUACCAAAGCAGGAAGUAAACAUCCUUUUUCCCCUUCCAGGUAGUCCAACCCCUACUGACUGGUGUCUCUGAAGCCAGAACAGUUUGAGUUGAGACAAGGUCAGGCUACUGGCCCGCCCUUAGUGCUUGUGUGUGUGUGUGUGCGUGCAUGUGUGUGUGUGUGUGCGUCUUUGCCAGGAGGAAAGGUGUGGCACAGCCUUCAAAUCCCACCAGAGGGACAACUAGCAAUAGAGUCGUCAUGUGUAUGCCAGGCACCUGUCCACCCUUACACACUCCCAUAUUGGAGGGGCUACUGAUAUCCUAACUUUGCCGACUAGGAAGUCACCAAGGUCCCAUCUGGGGAGUGGCAGGGAUAAGACGUGCACCUCUGUGGAGCCUAAAUGUGUACAUGUAGUUGGCAGACACUCACAAAGCUGAAUCAAACACCCUUCAGCUCAGGCGGAAACCCAGCAAGGUUCACGGUGCGGGGAGGGGCUACUCCCAACAAGGCUUGCCUGAAGGGCAGCAGAGAACACGAGGAAGUGGGUGGGGCUCUGCAUUUCUCCCUUUCUGUUGGGUGGAGCCGCUCAGGAGGGCACAGGGGCAGGCCCUGGACUCCUCCCCAGAACAGACACUGCACGGAUCUGUCCAUCACACUGGCUAUCAGUGCCCACUAGGAUCCCUGGAUUACUCCAGGCCAGCUUGGACCUGCUGAAUUCCCAUGUGACACAGCCCACAUCAUUAGAAUGAAGUGAGUUUGUAAAAUGCGUCCAAGUUGGGACUGGCAUGAUGGCAUAGUGGGUUAAGCCACUGCCUGUGACACUAGCAUCCCAUAUGAGCACUAAUUCGAGUCCCAGCUGCUCCAUUAGCACUCGAGCCUCAUCCCCUCCCCCAACUAAUGUGUCCGGGAAAACAGCAGAAGAUGGCCCAAGUACUUGGGUCCUUGUCACCCACCUGGGAGACUUGGCUGGGCUUCCAGGCUUCUGGCUUCUGUCUGGCCCUAUCCUGGCUGUUACCACCAUUUGGGGAGUGAACCAGCGAAUGGAAGCUCUCUCUUUCUCUCCCCCUCUCUAUCUGUAAC